RNAcentral lists this ribosomal RNA (444 nucleotides) under uncultured bacterium. RNAcentral's name for it is "bacterial SSU rRNA". It matches the Rfam family "Bacterial small subunit ribosomal RNA", at positions 958 to 1398 of the family's 1533-position model. The record is from RNAcentral.
AACGCGAAGAACCUUACCAGGAUUCGACAUGCCCUCUAUGGAUUCCCGAAAAGGAAUCCUUCACUUCGGGUGGGAGGAGCACAGGUGCUGCAUGGCUGUCGUCAGCUCGUGUCGUGAGAUGUUGGGUUAAGUCCCGCAACGAGCGCAACCCUCGUCCUCUGUUGCUAACAGGUUAGGCUGAGCACUCUGAGGAAACUGCCGGUGAUAAGCCGGAGGAAGGUGGGGAUGACGUCAAGUCCUCAUGGCCCUUACAUCCUGGGCUACACACGUGUUACAAUGGCGGUGACAAUGGGCAGCGAUCUCGCAAGAGCUAGCAAAUCCCAAAAAGCCGCCUCAGUUCGGAUUGCACUCUGCAACUCGAGUGCAUGAAGCUGGAAUCGCUAGUAAUCGUGGAUCAGCACGCCACGGUGAAUACGUUCCCGGGCCUUGUACACACCGCUAGUC